RNAcentral lists this ribosomal RNA (468 nucleotides) under uncultured bacterium. RNAcentral describes it as "partial 16S ribosomal RNA". It matches the Rfam family "Bacterial small subunit ribosomal RNA", at positions 28 to 507 of the family's 1533-position model. The record is from RNAcentral.
GACGAACGCUGGCGGCGUGCUUAACACAUGCAAGUCGAACGGAAAGGCCCUGCUUUUGUGGGGUGCUCGAGUGGCGAACGGGUGAGUAACACGUGAGUAACCUGCCCUUGACUUUGGGAUAACUUCAGGAAACUGGGGCUAAUACCGGAUAGGAGCUCCUGCUGCACGGUGGGGGUUGGAAAGUUUCGGCGGUUGGGGAUGGACUCGCGGCUUAUCAGCUUGUUGGUGGGGUAGUGGCUUACCAAGGCUUUGACGGGUAGCCGGCCUGAGAGGGUGACCGGCCACAUUGGGACUGCGUUACGGCCCAGACUCCUACGUGAGGCAGCAGUGGGGAAUAUUGCACAAUGGGCGGAAGCCUGAUGCAGCAACGCCGCGUGCGGGAUGGCGGCCUUCGGGUUGUAAACCGCUUUCGCCUGUGACGAAGCGUGAUUGACGGUAAUGGGUAAAGAAGCACCGGCUAACUACGUG